Molecule: microRNA, 21 nt
Filed under: Daphnia pulex (common water flea)
Lineage: Eukaryota; Metazoa; Arthropoda; Branchiopoda; Diplostraca; Daphniidae
Also listed under: 1 other name
Description: Dpu-Mir-252-P2-v2_5p (mature (guide))
Source: RNAcentral
UAAGUACUCGUGCCGCAGGAG